RNAcentral lists this ribosomal RNA (2618 nucleotides) under Escherichia coli. RNAcentral's name for it is "bacterial LSU rRNA". It matches the Rfam family "Bacterial large subunit ribosomal RNA", at positions 323 to 2925 of the family's 2925-position model. Lineage: Bacteria; Pseudomonadati; Pseudomonadota; Gammaproteobacteria; Enterobacterales; Enterobacteriaceae. The record is from RNAcentral.
UGUGUGUUAGUGGAAGCGUCUGGAAAGGCGCGCGAUACAGGGUGACAGCCCCGUACACAAAAAUGCACAUGCUGUGAGCUCGAUGAGUAGGGCGGGACACGUGGUAUCCUGUCUGAAUAUGGGGGGACCAUCCUCCAAGGCUAAAUACUCCUGACUGACCGAUAGUGAACCAGUACCGUGAGGGAAAGGCGAAAAGAACCCCGGCGAGGGGAGUGAAAAAGAACCUGAAACCGUGUACGUACAAGCAGUGGGAGCACGCUUAGGCGUGUGACUGCGUACCUUUUGUAUAAUGGGUCAGCGACUUAUAUUCUGUAGCAAGGUUAACCGAAUAGGGGAGCCGAAGGGAAACCGAGUCUUAACUGGGCGUUAAGUUGCAGGGUAUAGACCCGAAACCCGGUGAUCUAGCCAUGGGCAGGUUGAAGGUUGGGUAACACUAACUGGAGGACCGAACCGACUAAUGUUGAAAAAUUAGCGGAUGACUUGUGGCUGGGGGUGAAAGGCCAAUCAAACCGGGAGAUAGCUGGUUCUCCCCGAAAGCUAUUUAGGUAGCGCCUCGUGAAUUCAUCUCCGGGGGUAGAGCACUGUUUCGGCAAGGGGGUCAUCCCGACUUACCAACCCGAUGCAAACUGCGAAUACCGGAGAAUGUUAUCACGGGAGACACACGGCGGGUGCUAACGUCCGUCGUGAAGAGGGAAACAACCCAGACCGCCAGCUAAGGUCCCAAAGUCAUGGUUAAGUGGGAAACGAUGUGGGAAGGCCCAGACAGCCAGGAUGUUGGCUUAGAAGCAGCCAUCAUUUAAAGAAAGCGUAAUAGCUCACUGGUCGAGUCGGCCUGCGCGGAAGAUGUAACGGGGCUAAACCAUGCACCGAAGCUGCGGCAGCGACACUAUGUGUUGUUGGGUAGGGGAGCGUUCUGUAAGCCUGUGAAGGUGUACUGUGAGGUAUGCUGGAGGUAUCAGAAGUGCGAAUGCUGACAUAAGUAACGAUAAAGCGGGUGAAAAGCCCGCUCGCCGGAAGACCAAGGGUUCCUGUCCAACGUUAAUCGGGGCAGGGUGAGUCGACCCCUAAGGCGAGGCCGAAAGGCGUAGUCGAUGGGAAACAGGUUAAUAUUCCUGUACUUGGUGUUACUGCGAAGGGGGGACGGAGAAGGCUAUGUUGGCCGGGCGACGGUUGUCCCGGUUUAAGCGUGUAGGCUGGUUUUCCAGGCAAAUCCGGAAAAUCAAGGCUGAGGCGUGAUGACGAGGCACUACGGUGCUGAAGCAACAAAUGCCCUGCUUCCAGGAAAAGCCUCUAAGCAUCAGGUAACAUCAAAUCGUACCCCAAACCGACACAGGUGGUCAGGUAGAGAAUACCAAGGCGCUUGAGAGAACUCGGGUGAAGGAACUAGGCAAAAUGGUGCCGUAACUUCGGGAGAAGGCACGCUGAUAUGUAGGUGAAGUCCCUCGCGGAUGGAGCUGAAAUCAGUCGAAGAUACCAGCUGGCUGCAACUGUUUAUUAAAAACACAGCACUGUGCAAACACGAAAGUGGACGUAUACGGUGUGACGCCUGCCCGGUGCCGGAAGGUUAAUUGAUGGGGUCAGCGCAAGCGAAGCUCUUGAUCGAAGCCCCGGUAAACGGCGGCCGUAACUAUAACGGUCCUAAGGUAGCGAAAUUCCUUGUCGGGUAAGUUCCGACCUGCACGAAUGGCGUAAUGAUGGCCAGGCUGUCUCCACCCGAGACUCAGUGAAAUUGAACUCGCUGUGAAGAUGCAGUGUACCCGCGGCAAGACGGAAAGACCCCGUGAACCUUUACUAUAGCUUGACACUGAACAUUGAGCCUUGAUGUGUAGGAUAGGUGGGAGGCUUUGAAGUGUGGACGCCAGUCUGCAUGGAGCCGACCUUGAAAUACCACCCUUUAAUGUUUGAUGUUCUAACGUGGACCCGUAAUCCGGGUUGCGGACAGUGUCUGGUGGGUAGUUUGACUGGGGCGGUCUCCUCCUAAAGAGUAACGGAGGAGCACGAAGGUUGGCUAAUCCUGGUCGGACAUCAGGAGGUUAGUGCAAUGGCAUAAGCCAGCUUGACUGCGAGCGUGACGGCGCGAGCAGGUGCGAAAGCAGGUCAUAGUGAUCCGGUGGUUCUGAAUGGAAGGGCCAUCGCUCAACGGAUAAAAGGUACUCCGGGGAUAACAGGCUGAUACCGCCCAAGAGUUCAUAUCGACGGCGGUGUUUGGCACCUCGAUGUCGGCUCAUCACAUCCUGGGGCUGAAGUAGGUCCCAAGGGUAUGGCUGUUCGCCAUUUAAAGUGGUACGCGAGCUGGGUUUAGAACGUCGUGAGACAGUUCGGUCCCUAUCUGCCGUGGGCGCUGGAGAAUUGAGGGGGGCUGCUCCUAGUACGAGAGGACCGGAGUGGACGCAUCACUGGUGUUCGGGUUGUCAUGCCAAUGGCACUGCCCGGUAGCUAAAUGCGGAAGAGAUAAGUGCUGAAAGCAUCUAAGCACGAAACUUGCCCCGAGAUGAGUUCUCCCUGACUCCUUGAGAGUCCUGAAGGAACGUUGAAGACGACGACGUUGAUAGGCCGGGUGUGUAAGCGCAGCGAUGCGUUGAGCUAACCGGUACUAAUGAACCGUGAGGCUUAACCUU